UACGUAGGGGGCAAGCGUUGUCCGGAUUUACUGGGUGUAAAGGGCGCGCAGGCGGGAUAGCAAGUCAGAGGUGAAAUCCUACAGCUUAACUGUAGAACUGCCUUUGAUACUGUUAUUCUUGAGUUCGGGAGAGAGAGACGGAAUUCUAGGUGUAGUGGUGAAAUACGUAGAUAUCUGGAAGAACACCAGUUGCGAAGGCGGUCUCUUGGUCCGAUACUGACGCUGAGGCGCGAAAGCGUGGGGAGCAAACAGG
Molecule: ribosomal RNA, 253 nt
Filed under: uncultured bacterium
Lineage: Bacteria
Description: partial 16S ribosomal RNA
Rfam family: Bacterial small subunit ribosomal RNA
Source: RNAcentral